Apodemus sylvaticus (European woodmouse) is the source of this 584-nucleotide long non-coding RNA. RefSeq lists it as uncharacterized. The transcript has 2 exons. The record is from RefSeq and is a predicted model, not a curated record. Lineage: Eukaryota; Metazoa; Chordata; Mammalia; Rodentia; Muridae.
UCCAGGCCGUGCCCCUGCAAUUGUUGCUGUUUUUUAAUGUUGACUCCGAAGUGAUGCAUAUUUUCAUUCCAUUUUCCGUUUUGAGACAAGGGAACCCAGGCUGGUAUCAGUACGCAGCUCAGGAUGCCGUCUCACUCGAGGUCCUCCUACUUCCACUUCUUGAGUCCAGGAAUACAGACUACCAGAUAGCUCCUGGCUGGUGCAAUGAGAGUGAGUGACUAUAAGAAGGAGUGGCCUGCGGGAGCAAAGUGGUUAACUAAAUACCUGCAGAUCGGGAGUUCAAAGCCAGCCUCGGCUAUACAGCAAGUCAGAGCCAGCCUCAGACUUACGGAAACUGUAAGAUCCUGUCUCAAACAAAAGAAAACAACAAAACAACAAAAACCAGAGAGAGUCUGGUGAACCGGCUUGGCGUAGGAGCCUGAUUGCAGAACGCACACUAGGAGGGAGUAUUGACCCCACCCCCAAUUGUCCUCUGACCUCUGCUUGUGGGCAGUGACAUUCACGCACCCACCAUCACACACAAGCCACACCCUCGCAAAAUAAUAAGUCAAUUAAACUAGAAAACAUUUUUAUUUUAUUUAUUA